GACGAACGCUGGCGGCGUGCUUAACGCAUGCAAGUCGGACGGAAAGGCCCUGCUUUUGUGGGGUGCUCGAGUGGCGAACGGGUGAGUAACACGUGAGUAACCUGCCCUUGACUUUGGGAUAACUUCAGGAAACUGGGGCUAAUACCGGAUAGGAGCUCCUGCUGCAUGGUGGGGGUUGGAAAGUUUCGGCGGUUGGGGAUGGACUCGCGGCUUAUCAGCUUGUUGGUGGGGUAGUGGCUUACCAAGGCUUUGACGGGUAGCCGGCCUGAGAGGGUGACCGGCCACAUUGGGACUGAGAUACGGCCCAGACUCCUACGGGAGGCAGCAGUGGGGAAUAUUGCACAAUGGGCGGAAGCCUGAUGCAGCAACGCCGCGUGCGGGAUGACGGCCUUCGGGUUGUAAACCGCUUUCGCCUGUGACGAAGCGUGAGUGACGGUAAUGGGUAAAGAAGCACCGGCUAACUACGUG
This 468-nucleotide ribosomal RNA is filed under the name uncultured bacterium. Its description in RNAcentral is "partial 16S ribosomal RNA". It matches the Rfam family "Bacterial small subunit ribosomal RNA", at positions 28 to 507 of the family's 1533-position model. The record is from RNAcentral.